This 345-nucleotide ribosomal RNA is filed under the name Triticum aestivum (bread wheat). RNAcentral's name for it is "partial small subunit ribosomal RNA". Lineage: Eukaryota; Viridiplantae; Streptophyta; Magnoliopsida; Poales; Poaceae. The record is from RNAcentral.
AUGGAGGGAAAACAACAAUGGGACAUAGUGGACCCUGGAUUCAAGCUUAGCGCUACAGUUCUGAAGAGAGCAGCAGGUAGACCAAGGAAGAGUCGAAUCAGACCUCGCAGCGAAGGAGCUGGACUUGGAGCGAGGAAGCGUAAGUGCACAAGGUGUGGUGGGUCUGGUCAUUUCAGUAAGUAUUGUGAUAACACAGUAGAUCCAGCGUUCGGAGAGUGUUUCGAUGAAGGCUUCGAUGAAAAUAUUGGUCAGCAGCCGGUUGCCGCAACAGAUGAUGAACAUGAUGGUCAACAGCAGGUUGCAUCAGAUGAGGAUUUUGACGAGGUUCCAAAUGAUGAUAGUCAA